Molecule: long non-coding RNA, 398 nt
Organism: Peromyscus maniculatus bairdii (prairie deer mouse)
Lineage: Eukaryota; Metazoa; Chordata; Mammalia; Rodentia; Cricetidae
Source: RefSeq, a predicted model, not a curated record
UGGAGGCACACACCUGUAACCUUAACACUGGGGAUGUUAGAAGCAAGACAAUCAGGAAUUCAAAAUCAUCCUCAGCUACAGAGCCCCUGUCACUGGCACAGAGCAGCUGUUCUAUGAGCUGAAGCGGCUUUCUAGUGUCCUCUAGAAACAGCUCGUGUGGGACAAAGGAAAGCUCACUUAACAUGCAGACACCAGCGGUGGGACACAGAUGGAGCCUGAGCGUGUUCAGUGUCAGCCCCCAGCAGUGGGCACUUCAUCAACAUGAUGCCUGGUGCUUAACCCUGAAACCACAUCCUUCAUUCAGCCUGGAGCACCCCUCAGCCCAACAGUCUACUCCCUGAACUCCAGCUGAACCCCUCAGGAAGUUGAGCCAAACUCAUGAUUGGGUAAAUAAAAGA